This 207-nucleotide unclassified non-coding RNA is filed under the name Dendronephthya gigantea. Its description in RNAcentral is "uncharacterized LOC114538482, transcript variant X1". The record is from RNAcentral. Lineage: Eukaryota; Metazoa; Cnidaria; Anthozoa; Malacalcyonacea; Nephtheidae.
CACAACUCAAAUGCUGUAUUUAUGAGAUUGAUAUCGAAAGUAAACUGUUAAUCUAAUCUUAGUACAUCUGAUUCCCUUCAGAAAGAUUCAAUUUAGGAUGCCUUGAACUGCUCGUCGAACCAGUGUCAAAAACACGAUCGAGUCAUGAUUGUUACAGGAAAUCAACUAUACAUUUCUAAUCUGUGAUUAUUUGUAGUUUGUUAUAUA